Molecule: ribosomal RNA, 1520 nt
Filed under: Klebsiella variicola
Lineage: Bacteria; Pseudomonadati; Pseudomonadota; Gammaproteobacteria; Enterobacterales; Enterobacteriaceae
Description: bacterial SSU rRNA
Rfam family: Bacterial small subunit ribosomal RNA
Source: RNAcentral
AGAGUUUGAUCAUGGCUCAGAUUGAACGCUGGCGGCAGGCCUAACACAUGCAAGUCGAGCGGUAGCACAGAGAGCUUGCUCUCGGGUGACGAGCGGCGGACGGGUGAGUAAUGUCUGGGAAACUGCCUGAUGGAGGGGGAUAACUACUGGAAACGGUAGCUAAUACCGCAUAACGUCGCAAGACCAAAGUGGGGGACCUUCGGGCCUCAUGCCAUCAGAUGUGCCCAGAUGGGAUUAGCUGGUAGGUGGGGUAACGGCUCACCUAGGCGACGAUCCCUAGCUGGUCUGAGAGGAUGACCAGCCACACUGGAACUGAGACACGGUCCAGACUCCUACGGGAGGCAGCAGUGGGGAAUAUUGCACAAUGGGCGCAAGCCUGAUGCAGCCAUGCCGCGUGUGUGAAGAAGGCCUUCGGGUUGUAAAGCACUUUCAGCGGGGAGGAAGGCGAUAAGGUUAAUAACCUUGUCGAUUGACGUUACCCGCAGAAGAAGCACCGGCUAACUCCGUGCCAGCAGCCGCGGUAAUACGGAGGGUGCAAGCGUUAAUCGGAAUUACUGGGCGUAAAGCGCACGCAGGCGGUCUGUCAAGUCGGAUGUGAAAUCCCCGGGCUCAACCUGGGAACUGCAUUCGAAACUGGCAGGCUAGAGUCUUGUAGAGGGGGGUAGAAUUCCAGGUGUAGCGGUGAAAUGCGUAGAGAUCUGGAGGAAUACCGGUGGCGAAGGCGGCCCCCUGGACAAAGACUGACGCUCAGGUGCGAAAGCGUGGGGAGCAAACAGGAUUAGAUACCCUGGUAGUCCACGCUGUAAACGAUGUCGAUUUGGAGGUUGUGCCCUUGAGGCGUGGCUUCCGGAGCUAACGCGUUAAAUCGACCGCCUGGGGAGUACGGCCGCAAGGUUAAAACUCAAAUGAAUUGACGGGGGCCCGCACAAGCGGUGGAGCAUGUGGUUUAAUUCGAUGCAACGCGAAGAACCUUACCUGGUCUUGACAUCCACAGAACUUUCCAGAGAUGGAUUGGUGCCUUCGGGAACUGUGAGACAGGUGCUGCAUGGCUGUCGUCAGCUCGUGUUGUGAAAUGUUGGGUUAAGUCCCGCAACGAGCGCAACCCUUAUCCUUUGUUGCCAGCGGUCCGGCCGGGAACUCAAAGGAGACUGCCAGUGAUAAACUGGAGGAAGGUGGGGAUGACGUCAAGUCAUCAUGGCCCUUACGACCAGGGCUACACACGUGCUACAAUGGCAUAUACAAAGAGAAGCGACCUCGCGAGAGCAAGCGGACCUCAUAAAGUAUGUCGUAGUCCGGAUUGGAGUCUGCAACUCGACUCCAUGAAGUCGGAAUCGCUAGUAAUCGUAGAUCAGAAUGCUACGGUGAAUACGUUCCCGGGCCUUGUACACACCGCCCGUCACACCAUGGGAGUGGGUUGCAAAAGAAGUAGGUAGCUUAACCUUCGGGAGGGCGCUUACCACUUUGUGAUUCAUGACUGGGGUGAAGUCGUAACAAGGUAACCGUAGGGGAACCUGCGGUUG